Cyprinus carpio carpio is the source of this 1221-nucleotide long non-coding RNA. The record is from Ensembl. Lineage: Eukaryota; Metazoa; Chordata; Actinopteri; Cypriniformes; Cyprinidae.
AAGUCUACUAUGGGGCAGAAUCACUUUAUCCAGUUUCAAAAUUAGAAACCGGAACACAUAUGCACCAUACAUUUUCUUUUUAGUUUAAAGGGUAAAAGACAUGCAAAGAAAGGAAAAUGUGGAGGAGGACUUCGUUCACAUGAGAUAGGCAGUCCUUUUGUCUGGGACGCAUGUGGGGAUUCUCCUCCCCUCAUUCGUUGGUCAGAUCGGAAGCUAAUUUUCACACCAUUGCCCCCCUUUUGCACCGUCCAUUUCCUAUAACGUUAGUCAACUUUCAUAUAGACUUUGAUAAUGAAUAAGUACUUUAUAGAAUCACUAAACUUAUACGUACAGCAUGUUUGUGGGGUUGCUUUAAAAUGCAUGUUAUUGGAAAGGAAUGCGACCCGUUGCUCCACCCGUCAGAGGGGGACGUUUUCUAUAGGAAAACAUUGUUUAUGUAGGCUAGUAUGCUUAUUGAGGGUGGCAUAUGUCGGUUUGACGAAAAAUAUCUGCGGGUUUUCAUUAAAAGCACCAGGAUAAUUUGCUGUUUAUGUAGAAUUAGGAACCCAGACGAUAACACACAUACGUUUUAAAAAUAGCCUAUAUAUUAUAUACAAACAAAAGGCUAACAAAAGCAAAAACUGCUGCUUUCGCUAUCGUCGAAGAACGCUGGAAUUAAGCACUGUGUGGCCAGGUUGAUGAUGUGCAUUGAAGAAAAUCUAAAUUCAAGGAGAUUCUACAGAGACUUUUAUUUAAUGUGCCCAACAGUCAUUUGAACGAUUUGAUUAUUUGAAAUUUUGAACUAUUUUAAUUGCUGGAAUGGUCUGGAAAUGUAUUAACAAAAAUGAGUAAAACAAGAAAAAUAUUGUAAGAUAUUGUACACAAGUAGUGGGACUUAAGUAUUUAGCUUACUCUGUGUGCAAGUUGACUUAUGUGAGAGGAUGGCAUUCGUUUUUGUGAUAUCCAUUUUCACUACAUUUGGGUUUGUUAAAGUUUCUCAAGCAAAUAUGUAGAUUGCAUAUUUAAAGAUUUUAAAGUCAUUGAUUUUCAAGAAUUUUAAAAAGCAAACAAUUGCAGAGAAAUACACGAUUUGAAGAUGACAUAAGUACUAAUUCAAUAAAUCACAGCACAAUGAAAGAAUAGUCUCCUAUGCUCAUAUUAAAAAUGUCUAAUAAGAAACAAUAUUGAUAUGAUCAAGGAGCUUUUUUUGUCAUUAUAACAAUAUACUGACAGUUGAUGCAU